GACGAACGCUGGCGGCGUGCUUAACACAUGCAAGUCGAACGAUGAACCCGGAGCUUGCUCUGGGGGAUUAGUGGCGAACGGGUGAGUAACACGUGAGUAACCUGCCCUGGACUCUGGGAUAAGCGUUGGAAACGACGUCUAAUACCGGAUAGGACCUUGGAUCGCAUGAUCUGGGGUGGAAAGUUUUUUCGGUCUGGGAUGGACUCGCGGCCUAUCAGCUUGUUGGUGAGGUAAUGGCUCACCAAGGCGUCGACGGGUAGCCGGCCUGAGAGGGUGACCGGCCACACUGGGACUGAGAAACGGCCCAGACUCCUACGGGAGGCAGCAGUGGGGAAUAUUGCACAAUGGGCGAAAGCCUGAUGCAGCAACGCCGCGUGCGGGAGGACGGCCGUCGGGUUGUAAACCGCUUUUAGUAGGGAAGAAGGGCUUCGGCUUGACGGUACCUGCAGAAAAAGGACCGGCUAACUACGUG
RNAcentral lists this ribosomal RNA (472 nucleotides) under uncultured bacterium. RNAcentral's name for it is "partial 16S ribosomal RNA". It matches the Rfam family "Bacterial small subunit ribosomal RNA", at positions 28 to 507 of the family's 1533-position model. The record is from RNAcentral.